This 111-nucleotide ribosomal RNA is filed under the name Bacillus licheniformis. The record is from RNAcentral. Lineage: Bacteria; Bacillati; Bacillota; Bacilli; Caryophanales; Bacillaceae. RNAcentral also lists the same sequence under 9 other names.
UGGCGAUAGCGAAGAGGUCACACCCGUUCCCAUACCGAACACGGAAGUUAAGCUCUUCAGCGCCGAUGGUAGUCGGGGGUUUCCCCCUGUGAGAGUAGGACGCCGCCAAGC